AGGAUGAACGCUGGCGGCGUGCCUAAUACAUGCAAGUCGAGCGGUAAGGUCCCUUCGGGGAUACACGAGCGGCGGACGGCUGAGUAACACGUAGGAACGUACCCCAAAGUGAGGGAUAAGCACCAGAAAUGGUGUCUAAUACCGCAUGUGAUCUUCGGAUUAAAGCUCCGGCGCUUUGGGAACGGCCUGCGCAUGAUUAGUUAGUUGGUGAGGUAAUGGCUCACCAAGACGAUGAUCAUUAGCUGGUCUGAGAGGAUGACCAGCCAGACUGGAACUGAGAACGGUCCAGACUCCUACGGGAGGCAGCAGUAGGGAAUUUUCCACAAUGGACGAAAGUCUGAUGGAGCAACGCCGCGUGCAGGAUGAAGGCUCUAGGGUCGUAAACUGCUUUUAUAUGUGACGAUUAUGACGGUAGCAUAUGAAUAAGGAUCGGCUAACUCCGUGCCAGCAGCCG
RNAcentral lists this ribosomal RNA (454 nucleotides) under uncultured bacterium. RNAcentral's name for it is "SSU rRNA". It matches the Rfam family "Bacterial small subunit ribosomal RNA", at positions 26 to 517 of the family's 1533-position model. The record is from RNAcentral.